This 70-nucleotide transfer RNA is filed under the name Clytia hemisphaerica. RNAcentral's name for it is "tRNA-Gly for anticodon GCC". It matches the Rfam family "tRNA". Rfam says of the family: Transfer RNA (tRNA) molecules are approximately 80 nucleotides in length. Their secondary structure includes four short double-helical elements and three loops (D, anti-codon, and T loops). The record is from Rfam by way of RNAcentral. Lineage: Eukaryota; Metazoa; Cnidaria; Hydrozoa; Leptothecata; Clytiidae.
GCAUUGGUGGUUCAGUGGUAGAAUUCUCGCCUGCCACGCGGGAGACCGGGUUCGACUCCCCGCCAAUGCA